Molecule: ribosomal RNA, 644 nt
Filed under: uncultured Arthrobacter sp.
Lineage: Bacteria; Bacillati; Actinomycetota; Actinomycetes; Micrococcales; Micrococcaceae
Description: bacterial SSU rRNA
Rfam family: Bacterial small subunit ribosomal RNA
Source: RNAcentral
CGGGUUGUAAACUCCUUUCAGCAGGGACGAAAUUGACGGUACCUGCAGAAGAAGCCCCGGCCAACUACGUGCCAGCAGCCGCGGUAAUACGUAGGGGGCGAGCGUUGUCCGGAUUCAUUGGGCGUAAAGAGCUCGUAGGCGGCUCCGUCAGUCGGGUGUGAAACCUCCAGGCUCAACCUGGAGCUGCCACCCGAUACUGCGGUGGCUUGAGUCCGGUAGGGGGCCACGGAAUUCCUGGUGUAGCGGUGAAAUGCGCAGAUAUCAGGAGGAACACCGAUGGCGAAGGCAGUGGCCUGGGCCGGUACUGACGCUGAGGAGCGAAAGCGUGGGGAGCGAACAGGAUUAGAUACCCUGGUAGUCCAUGCCGUAAACGUUGGGCACUAGGUGUGGGGGACAUUCCACGUUUUCCGCGCCGUAGCUAACGCAUUAAGCGCCCCGCCUGGGGAGUACGGCCGCAAGGCUAACACUCAAAGGAAUUGACGGGGGCCCGCACAAGCGGCGGAGCAUGCUGAUUAAUUCUAUGCAACGCGAAGAACCUUACCAAGGCUUGACAUAGGCCAGACACAUCCAGAGAUGGGUGCUUCUUCAGACUGGUGUACACGUGGUGCAUGGUUGUCGUCAGCUCGUGUCUUGAGAUGUUGGGU